UACGUAGGGGGCUAGCGUUAUCCGGAAUUACUGGGCGUAAAGGGUGCGUAGGUGGUUUCUUAAGUCAGAGGUGAAAGGCUACGGCUCAACCGUAGUAAGCCUUUGAAACUGGGAAACUUGAGUGCAGGAGAGGAGAGUGGAAUUCCUAGUGUAGCGGUGAAAUGCGUAGAUAUUAGGAGGAACACCAGUUGCGAAGGCGGCUCUCUGGACUGUAACUGACACUGAGGCACGAAAGCGUGGGGAGC
RNAcentral lists this ribosomal RNA (245 nucleotides) under uncultured Romboutsia sp. Its description in RNAcentral is "partial 16S ribosomal RNA". It matches the Rfam family "Bacterial small subunit ribosomal RNA", at positions 524 to 769 of the family's 1533-position model. Lineage: Bacteria; Bacillati; Bacillota; Clostridia; Peptostreptococcales; Peptostreptococcaceae. The record is from RNAcentral.